UACGUAGGGUGCAAGCGUUAAUCGGAAUUACUGGGCGUAAAGCGCGCGCAGGCGGCGGUGUAAGCAUGGCGUGAAAGCCCCAGGCUCAACCUGGGAGGGUCGUCGUGGACUGCACCGCUUGAGGGCGGUAGGGGCUGGUGGAAUGCCUGGUGUAGUGGUGAAAUGCGUAGAGAUCAGGCGGAACACCCGCGGCGAAGGCGGCCAGCUGGGCCGUCCCUGACGCUGAGGCGCGAAGGCGUGGGGAGCGAACGGG
This 253-nucleotide ribosomal RNA is filed under the name uncultured bacterium. RNAcentral's name for it is "partial 16S ribosomal RNA". It matches the Rfam family "Bacterial small subunit ribosomal RNA", at positions 524 to 776 of the family's 1533-position model. The record is from RNAcentral.